GAUGAACGCUAGCGGCAGGCCUAACACAUGCAAGUCGAGGGGCAUCGCGGUGCAGCAAUGCACUGGCGGCGACCGGCGUACGGGUGCGUAACGCGUAUGCAACCUGCCCCGCACCGGGGGAUAGCCCGCCGAAAGGCGGAUUAAUACCCCAUGGUCCCGGGGGCCCGCAUGGGCAUCCGGGUAAAGCCUUGGCGGUGCGGGAUGGGCAUGCGUGCCAUUAGCUGGCUGGUGGGGUAACGGCCCACCAGGGCAACGAUGGCUAGGGGGUCUGAGAGGAUGGUCCCCCACACUGGUACUGAGACACGGACCAGACUCCUACGGGAGGCAGGCAGUGAGGAAUAUUGGUCAAUGGGCGGAAGCCUGAACCAGCCAUGCCGCGUGCGGGAUGAAGGCCCUACGGGUUGUAAACCGCUUUUCCCGGGAAGAUAACCCCGAUGAGUCGGGGGAUGCCGGUACCGGGGGAAUAAGGAUCGGCUAACUCCGUGCCAGCAGCCGCGGUAACUAGUCUACG
RNAcentral lists this ribosomal RNA (511 nucleotides) under uncultured bacterium. Its description in RNAcentral is "bacterial SSU rRNA". It matches the Rfam family "Bacterial small subunit ribosomal RNA", at positions 28 to 536 of the family's 1533-position model. The record is from RNAcentral.